CCUACGGGAGGCAGCAGUGGGGAAUUUUGGACAAUGGGCGCAAGCCUGAUCCAGCUAUGCCGCGUGUGUGAAGACGGCCUUCGGGUUGUAAACCACUUUUGUCGAGGACGAAAGGUCUAUGGAUAAUACCGAUAGAUGAUGACGGUACUCUCAGAAUAAGCACCGGCUAACUCCGUGCCAGCAGCCGCGGUAAUACGUAGGGUGCGAGCGUUAAUCGGAAUUACUGGGCGUAAAGCGUGUGCAGGCGGUUUGUCAAGUUGGAUGUGAAAGCCCCGGGCUUAACCUGGGAAAGGCAUACGUGACUGGCAGACUAGAGUGCUUCAGAGGGGGGUGGAAUUCCAAGUGUAGCAGUGAAAUGCGUAGAUAUUUGGAAGAACACCGAUGGCGAAGGCAGCCCCCUGGGA
This 404-nucleotide ribosomal RNA is filed under the name uncultured bacterium. Its description in RNAcentral is "partial 16S ribosomal RNA". It matches the Rfam family "Bacterial small subunit ribosomal RNA", at positions 338 to 734 of the family's 1533-position model. The record is from RNAcentral.